This 496-nucleotide ribosomal RNA is filed under the name uncultured bacterium. Its description in RNAcentral is "partial 16S ribosomal RNA". It matches the Rfam family "Bacterial small subunit ribosomal RNA", at positions 28 to 507 of the family's 1533-position model. The record is from RNAcentral.
GAUGAACGCUGGCGGCGUGCCUAAUACAUGCAAGUAGAACGCUGAAGGAGGAGCUUGCUCUUUCCGGAUGAGUUGCGAACGGGUGAGUAACGCGUAGGUAACCUGCCUGGUAGCGGGGGAUAACUAUUGGAAACGAUAGCUAAUACCGCAUAACAGUAGAUAUUGCAUGAUAUUUGCUUGAAAGGGGCAAUUGCUCCACUACCAGAUGGACCUGCGUUGUAUUAGCUAGUUGGUGAGGUAACGGCUCACCAAGGCGACGAUACAUAGCCGACCUGAGAGGGUGAUCGGCCACACUGGGACUGAGACACGGCCCAGACUCCUACGGGAGGCAGCAGUAGGGAAUCUUCGGCAAUGGACGGAAGUCUGACCGAGCGACGCCGCGUGAGUGAAGAAGGUUUUCGGAUCGUAAAGCUCUGUUGUAAGAGAAGAACGAGUGUGAGAGUGGAAAGUUCACACUGUGACGGUAUCUUACCAGAAAGGGACGGCUAACUACGUG